This 241-nucleotide ribosomal RNA is filed under the name Bacillus sp. 146A_4T. RNAcentral describes it as "partial 16S ribosomal RNA". It matches the Rfam family "Bacterial small subunit ribosomal RNA", at positions 130 to 357 of the family's 1533-position model. The record is from RNAcentral. Lineage: Bacteria; Bacillati; Bacillota; Bacilli; Caryophanales; Bacillaceae.
CUGUAAGACUGGGAUAACUCCGGGAAACCGGGGCUAAUACCGGAUGGUUGUUUGAACCGCAUGGUUCAAACAUAAAAGGUGGCUUCGGCUACCACUUACAGAUGGACCCGCGGCGCAUUAGCUAGUUGGUGAGGUAACGGCUCACCAAGGCAACGAUGCGUAGCCGACCUGAGAGGGUGAUCGGCCACACUGGGACUGAGACACGGCCCAGACUCCUACGGGAGGCAGCAGUGGUCAUAGC